UUACGGGAGGCAGCAGUGGGGAAUAUUGCACAAUGGGCGAAAGCCUGAUGCAGCAACGCCGCGUGAGUGAUGAAGGCCUUCGGGUUGUAAAGCUCUGUCUUCUGGGACGAUAAUGACGGUACCAGAGGAGGAAGCCACGGCUAACUACGUGCCAGCAGCCGCGGUAAUACGUAGGUGGCAAGCGUUGUCCGGAUUUACUGGGCGUAAAGGAUGCGUAGGCGGAUACUUAAGUCAGAUGUGAAAAUCCCGGGCUUAACUUGGGAACUGCAUUUGAAACUGGGUAUCUAGAGUGCGGGAGAGGAAAGUGGAAUUCCUAGUGUAGCGGUGAAAUGCGUAGAGAUUAGGAAGAACACCAGUGGCGAAGGCGACUUUCUGGACCGUAACUGACGCUGAGGCAUGAAAGCGUGGGGAGCAAACAGGAUUAGAUACCCCGGUAGU
Molecule: ribosomal RNA, 438 nt
Filed under: uncultured bacterium
Lineage: Bacteria
Description: bacterial SSU rRNA
Rfam family: Bacterial small subunit ribosomal RNA
Source: RNAcentral